This is a small nuclear RNA of Peromyscus maniculatus bairdii (prairie deer mouse), 105 nucleotides long. The record is from Ensembl. NCBI's taxonomy places the organism in Eukaryota, Metazoa, Chordata, Mammalia, Rodentia, Cricetidae.
GUGCUUGCUUAGGCAGCACAUUUGCUAAUAUUGGAAUGACACAGAGAAAUUAGCAUAGCCCCUGUGCAAAAAUGACACAAGAUCUGUAAAGCAUCACACACACAC